GCCAGGUAUGGUGGCGCAUGCCUGUAAUCCUAGUGGCUAGGGAGGCUGAGGCAGGAGGAUCGCUAGUUCAAAGCCAGCCUCAGCAACUUAGCGAGGCCCAAAGCAACUCAGUGAGACCCUGUCUCUA
This 127-nucleotide small RNA is filed under the name Marmota monax (woodchuck). Lineage: Eukaryota; Metazoa; Chordata; Mammalia; Rodentia; Sciuridae. The record is from RNAcentral.